Molecule: long non-coding RNA, 6060 nt
Organism: Aethalodelphis obliquidens (Pacific white-sided dolphin)
Lineage: Eukaryota; Metazoa; Chordata; Mammalia; Artiodactyla; Delphinidae
Exons: 5
Source: RefSeq, a predicted model, not a curated record
UGAGGUGGAUGGACCUAGAGUCUGUCAUACAGAGUGAAGUAAGUCAGAAAGAGAAAAACAAAUACUGUAUGCUAACACAAUUAUUUUUAAGGUAGGGGAAAUAAUUGCAUGUUUCUUUUCUGAUCGGAAUUAUCUAGUAGAGAAGGAGGCUGGGCCAUGUCUUGAGAAGGUGAGAGGGGACGGAGGGGGGUGGUCUAAGGUAGGAACAGGACGGUUUUUGAAGUAUCACGAGGCAAAGCCAAGCGAGCACAGGGGCCCUGAUGCUGGUGGGGCAGGUGCGGUGGUAGGAGCUCAUGGCAGCUCUUUCCAUCUGCUUCCAUGUUCCUCCCGAAAUAGGAAGCAAGGCCGGGAGAAGAGAGGGAGAGCAGCGGGAGGAGGUGCUGGGAGUUUAAAGAGAGAGAGAAGAUGUGAACGAGUCAUCCAGGAGAGUCAAGAGUGGAGGACAGGAGAAAUGGACGCUGGUGUCCUGGCAGUGACGGAAGCCCAUGCAUCACUGGCGGUCACGGGCUUCCUGAUAUGCACGAAGGCUUGGGAACCACUGCCCUAGAGUAGAAUGGCUGAAGGAGGAAGACAAGCAUCUACAGGACCAGAAGAAUUUAAGAAAUUGAGAGGUCGGGAAAGGAAAAGGAUUCUUUAAGGAGCAUGAAAUUGCUGAAAAUUAAGACAGGGGUACAGAGACUUCCCCGGUGGUCCAGUGGUUAAGAUUCUGCCUUCCAAUGCAAGGGGUGUGGGUUGGAUCCCUGGUCGGGGAGCUAAGAGCCCACAUGCUGUGGGGUACGGCCAAAAUUUUUUUAAAAAAAGGGGGUACACCUGAAGAAAGUGCCCGGACCCAGGAGCUAAAAUCACCAAGAAAUGAGGACAAUGGCCAGGUGGAGAAUAGUCUAGAAGUGGCAGAAAACAGUAAGGAGGACACCUAUCCCAGAGCCCAGUGAUAUAAGGGCUGUGGGAGAUAGCAGCCCCUCUGCGGGGCAUAGCGGGGAGGACAACGGCCCCCCAAAGAUGUCCACUCAUCCCUGGCACUUGUGCGUAUGUUACCUUACACGGCAGCGGGGACUUGGCAGGUGUGAUUACUAAUCUCAAGAUGGAACGAGUAGCCCGGAUUAUCCAGGUGGGCCCAAUGUAAUCACAAGCGUCCCUAUAAGAGGAGGCCGGAGAGUCAGGCGGAGGAGUACGCGGCACGAGGGGGCAGCGGUCGGGGUGAUGCGGUUGCUGGCUUGGAAGAUGGAGGGAGGCCCACCGGCCAGGAAGCGGAUUCUCCCCUCGAGCCUCCGGAAGGGACACGGCCCUGCGGACACCUUGAGUUUAGCCCAGUGAGACCAUUUUGGAUUUCUGACCUCCAGAACCGUAAGAGAGACACCGUGAUGAAAACACAGAUGUUGAACAUGGCUACAGCCUCAGCGUGAUUUCUAAGCCUGACACCUAAGGCUGAAACCAGAAAGAAAGAAAGAAAAGACAGACGCAUAGUGAGCCAUCACUGCGAUGCUGCAGAGGACUCGGGCUGUGGCCUCUGAUGCAGCAAACCCACUUUCACCAACAGACAGACAAUCCGAGAGCCAAGGCCCAGCGGGACAGCAGGAGGCACGUAAGCCAGCAAUACCGAUGCCGGAUGGUUCCUGGCAAGCGCUCACCACGUGCUACCUGAUUCCAAUCAUUGUGCAGAGAAUUAAAUAACAGCAGCAGCAUCUAAACAGCUGAGGCACAGAAAGGUAAAGCGACAUCCUCACUGUCCCACGUGGCCUCUACCCCGAGCCUCCGGCUCCCUGCACAGUUCUGCGCAGGCCCAGGACCCAAAGUCAAUAGAGGGGAUCUACAGCUAAGGCCAGGGGCCCCACUGAGCUCAGUGGGAAAACCACACCCAGCUCUAGCCCAGGUCCAGAGCCUGGUUUCACAUCCAGAAAGUGCGGGGCGAGGGGAUGGUUAACCCCUUCCAAAGUGCACAAGAAGGCCCCUGGGGGUUGCGGGGGGGGCGGUGGUGGAGCUUUGAGUUGAUGAGAUCAAGACUGGAAAUUACCUAAGCACAGGGCACUUCCAGAGGUUGCUGACCCACCUGCCCCCUCUCUCAUUCCCCAAUGCCCUGCCGUUGACGGAGAGCCUUCCUUGACUGGAAACACCAAGCAAAGUGUACAAAACCAAAAGGGAGCUGGCUCAGGGCAGGAGCAGAGCUGCCGAAGGCUGGAACCUGGCGCUGCUGCCUUCUCCCUGGAAGAGGGUGAUGGGGCCACUGGGAGAGCAUGCAGAUCCCCAGAGCCUCAUUGCCACCCCUACUCCCCUCCCCGACCGAGAAUCUCAGCAAGACAAAAUGGCUCAGUUGCUGGCAUAUCAUGCAGUUUCAAAUCACGGCCAACCAAGGAGAUAAAAUAACACUGGCAUCUGUGGCAGAGCACAUCAGAAAAUCAGAAUUUCAUGAUGGAGCUACUCAAAUGGAAUUCUCCCUCAUUUGACCUCUGCUUCCUUCUUACGAGUGAUACAACCUCAGUGGGCAUGCAAAUUCAUAAGACUGUACACUUUCUUCCUGUUUUUCUCUGGUUGGCAAGUUACUAUUUUUAUAGCCCCUGCCCAGUCAGAGCACUGAAGGCGCUUAGAAAGGAGACAGGAGCUAUAUAUUUUACAGGCAUUCAUUUUCUCUUCAAUUUUAAAUAAUCCCUUUUCAAUGGCCAAAUUAGAAGGCCAGAGUCCGUUUUGAGUGCUUGAGGUAGAAAUAUUUUCUGGGAUUAAUUUCUUGCAGGGAGUAAUUCCACCUUUUGCUAGAUGUCGCUAUACUUGCAUCCUUAGGUAAACCAGAAUAGCCUCUCAAAAGGCAUGAGCUCUCUGAACGCUCAUCUUCAAGGCAGAGAACACUCAAUAAUGAGAUCUUUUCUGCAGUUCUUCAGUUGCAGGCCUAGACUCCUACAUGUUGGGCUCCAAUAGGGCUGGUUUGAUUGGGACUGGAUGGCGUUCGUCACGGGCUGCUGCCGCCCAGGACAAAAUAACCACCUCCUCAGUAGUGGCUCUGAACACAGUCUGGACCAUGCAUUUCAGGCCAUCUCUUGAAGCAAAAAGGCCCACUGGCAAAGCCAGGUGCCCGUGGCCCGAAGGCAGCUCCCUCAUCACACUUGCCUGUCUCUACUCCACACUGGCUGGUUCUAAACCCAAGAGCAGAGGCUUGUCUGACCACUCCCUCAGGGCCUUAAAAAAAAAAAGCCUCUAUCCUGACAGUGGCCAAAUAAUUAAUGUUUUCAGCCUGGACCUCACCCCUGAACUUCAGACUUAGAUAUCGAACUACCGGCCGGGCAUCUCACACUUAACACGGUCCAAACCCAUCUCCUGAUGGCCACAAUCAUCGCCGUCCUGCCCCCUGCUCCACUCGUCCCAUCAUAGGAAACAGACACUCCCCAUUUCCGGUGGUUCAGGUCAAUCUUGGUCACAGCCCACAUCCCCUCCAUAUGCAAAUGCUUCUGGAUUUACCCUCAAAAUAACAUCCAGAGCCUCUGUCACCUCACUGCACUGGAAAAAAUAGUUCCAAGGCGCUAAAAUAGUCAAGAUGUUUGCACUGUAUCCCUCUGUACGCAUUCAGAUAGCACUUGGGGGGGACCAGGUGCCAUGGACGUGUCCAAGGUCACACCCUUGGAACGGCACCUUUGAAUCGAGGCCGAACCCCAGGCACCCGGCUUUUAAUAGUAGGGGCCGUUCCCUGGGAAGCCCAUGCCUGCUCCCUUGUCAAGAGUUCAGAGAAUUUAUAAAGCCUCAAACUGACAGGUUUGUCUGCAGACUUCUGAGGUGCAGUUUCCUGUUUAGUCAUGAAGCAGACACUUUAAUCGUCUAUUUCCUGGUGGGAGGCAGGUACCAGGAGCCCGAGGAAGGGCCUGUUUUAAAUUCAACUAAGACCUUUACCCCACCCCGAGCCGCCCUGCUCUGUAGGGGGCUGUUCACGUGCCCUAUUUAAUCCUCACAGCCAUCUCUGGGGGUUGGGGCUACGAUGCCCAUUUCUCAGGUCAAGUUACUGAGGCAGAGAAAGAUGGAGUGAUCCUUCCAGGAACGGCCCCAGCUCGGUGGGUGCUAGUCCCAGGUCAGGGCUUCCACAUGUGUAAGGUCAUCAAGCUCCCCUGGGGGCUGAGUUAAGAUGCAGUUUUGCCUCAGAAGGGCUCGACACAAAAGCGCUGUCGAUACACCCGUGUAAGUCCCACGACCUCUCUCUGAGCCUCAGUUUUCCCACAAAACGGAUCAGAAUACCUCCUGGAGAGACUGCUGUCAGGAUUGAAGGAGAUGAUGUAGCUGGCUUAUUCAUAGACAGAUGUUUACUAACUCUGCAAUACGGACCCAUAGAGAAGAUGGAAGAAUGAGAGAGAAGAUGUGGAAGGAGACAGACCAGUCCAAUCCAAUCCUCUUCCACUAACCAAGAAUACAAUGCUAUUUCCCUACAUGUUUAAAGAAGUCGUCUGUUCCGUUGAUCAGCUGUUAGUAACAUGGAGGUAGACAUCGAGGGAGAAGGCAGCAUCUCGACUUAGGAUAUGUUACCUAGGUGACACCUAGAAACACGCCCAAAGACAGGGAGAGAGGCCUCUGGUCCCAGAAUCACUGCCCCAUUGUGGUCUUUUAUGAGACUACCACUGAAGACCUAUAUAGUGAUGGUACAUUUUUACAAUCCUCGCAUAAAUCAGUGAAUUGUCCUGCUAGUCUGAUGGGUUAGGUGAUGAUUUAGGAUAUGGAUUGGAAAUGGUUCACUGAUUAAUCAACACGAAUAAUUAACACGAAAGUGCAAGGUGUCAACAGAUAAAAUACGAAAAUACUCAAUUUGUCACCCUGACAAAUUCUACAACUAGCUUCCACCCUCCUGAGAGCACAGGCACAUCUCUAAAUGGACGGCAUCAGAGGAGAAAACCUGUGGGCAUCUGCAUCGUAGGGGUUAGACUGCUCUAGGGUACGUUCAGUUUAAUGGUUCUUUAAUGAAAACACCAGGGUCCCUCCCAACCUGUGUAGAACGCGCUACCAUCUUCUCCAUCCUCCGCUUUUUCCAUGAUUACGCGUCAACUUACAAGCUAGGGAGAAACAACUCAGACAUUCUCUAAGCUAAGCUGCCCUGCGAGGGAGGACGAGACAACUGUAUGAACUCAGACCUGAGUUGAGCUGAGCUGCUCUGCCCGGUCCUUUUCUCCGAUUCAGCAGAAUUUCUUCCGACUACAUGCAGCUAAGAGGCACCUCUCCUAUCAAGCAACCACAUGGCUUCUAAGGCAGCAACCACAGGCAGGAAAGCAUUCUAAACAAACCACGGCUUGCCCCCUGGUCCUCCUGAAGCUUCCUCACAGCCUCGGCCCCAAAGCUCUGCUGAGAGGCGGCAGCCACAAAGCAAGCACUGCAACAUGGGCUGCUGCCUUUCAGAACUAAAACAGAAGCAAAAAGAAAAGCACUUGUUACUACGGCCAGUUGAGAUUCGGGAAAGAAACAGUGACCCAAACCCACAGUUCAGCUCAGCCUGCAACCACAAAUGAGAUGAGAAAAUAAAUACCUAAUUGUUUGGGAAGCCAUCUUUCUCUUUGGAGGUUGGCGGAAUUAACCAGACAUUUUUGUGAAGACAUUUGCGUUUCCUUAGCCUUGCGUAUGCGGCAGAGAGAACUGAAGGCGGGUCAGACACGCCAGGUGGGUUAAGGGGGGGGGGAGCGUGGAGCAGGAAGAAACAUCUCCAUCCUGAGCUACUUUCCUCAUGUCGCAGAAUCUCACAGAAGUUCCCCGAGGCCUUUGAGAAGAGGUCCAAAACCCCAGGCCUGCCUCAAGUGAACUUUCCUUCGAAAACCAGCACAGCCCCUGCUGCUUGCAACAGAUUCGUGGGAUAUUUAUGGAAUCUUCUAGCCUAGUCUGCACCUUAUCCUUCCAUAAAUUCACCUUCCAGAUCAUUCUAUGUCCUCCCAUGUGUCACGACCAGCUCACAGCACGGCACCACCACCCCCCUCCCCACAAUCAAGAAGGGUACCCGUACAUACAUCCACGUUUCCAAAGCCCGACAUAAGCCCACGUGCCGUAAGGAGGCAGCCUGACCCACUUCACGCUGCCAUCAGUCUUACGCAUUUUGUCCUGUCUCCCUCUCAA